GCUCCUCUAUCCUCUCGCGUGCCUCCCUCUCCUGCGCGGUCGCCCGCCGCAGCGCCGAACCGCCGUCCUCGGCUACCCCAUUCCCGCGCGCGCCAUGGCGCCCUCCAGCUGCGUCGUGCCCGUCGUCCGCCGCCGCCUGGCCCAUUCGCCCGUCUCCUCGCGCGCCCACAGCGCCUCACCGGACCCGGGGAGCACCGCCGUCGCCUGCAGUCGCCGGCGCCCACAGCUCCUUGCCGGACCCGGUCCCCGCGCCCUCCUCCCUCACCUGCGGCCUCCUCCUCGUCGCCCCGCGCCUCCCCGAGAGCCACCUCCGCCUCGACUAGCGCCACCCCUCCGUCGUCCGCUUCUGGCGUCUCCGAUCCUCCUCUGCAUCGACCUCCCCUGCGCCAAGCCCUGCCACCGGCCUACUACCUCGCCUCCUCAACCCGAGCUGGCCAAUAUCCGGCCAUCUUCGACACCUUGGGGUCGCUGGCCAUGGACGCCUCUACUCCAUCGCCGGAUGGCUGCUUCUCCGCGCGCCUCUCUCGCAUUGUUUUGGAUCGACAAGGACGAGUACCACAACUACAACCGGUGUGUGUUUUUUUUGUCAAGUCCGACUACAACAAACGACUACGCGACGAGACGCCAAGUACCACUACGACCGGAGACCUCGGACCCGUCAAGUACCCUUUGGAUGUGCCAAGUUCCACGACGACCCAAGUACCGCGAGAACAUUUGUACCUCUACCGUCGCCGUGGAUCCGACAAGUACCCCUACAACAAGUGUACCUCUACCGCCGUCUUCGGAAUCUCUAAGAACGUCAAGCACCCCUUCGAGAUGACGAGACCGACAAGUUCAAAUGACCCCAAGUACCUCUCCGAAAAUGAGAUGUAUACCGCUAUCGUCGCAAGAAUCGAGACCGACAAGUCCGAAGAUGCAAGUGCCACUCCGAACCAUGUACGACGACCGUCGCAAAGACCCAUGUAACGCAAACGUCAAGUUCAACUACCGUUGCGUGAACCGCUACUUUCCACAACGACCCCGUGAACAACUACUUCCCCUUUGACACAUGUACCCCUACCGCCGAACUCGAUCUGUUCCGAUAAUGCACGCUUCGAAGGUAUAACCUCAA
Molecule: RNA transcript, 1111 nt
Organism: Triticum dicoccoides
Lineage: Eukaryota; Viridiplantae; Streptophyta; Magnoliopsida; Poales; Poaceae
Gene name: serine/arginine repetitive matrix protein 1-like
Exons: 2
Source: RefSeq, a predicted model, not a curated record